This 449-nucleotide ribosomal RNA is filed under the name uncultured bacterium. Its description in RNAcentral is "partial 16S ribosomal RNA". It matches the Rfam family "Bacterial small subunit ribosomal RNA", at positions 29 to 523 of the family's 1533-position model. The record is from RNAcentral.
AGCGAACGCUGGCGGCAGGCCUAACACAUGCAAGUCGAACGAACUCUUCGGAGUUAGUGGCGGACGGGUGAGUAACACGUGGGAACGUGCCUUUAGGUUCGGAAUAACUCAGGGAAACUUGUGCUAAUACCGAAUGUGCCCUUCGGGGGAAAGAUUGAUCGCCUUUAGAGCGGCCCGCGUCUGAUUAGCUAGUUGGUGAGGUAAAGGCUCACCAAGGCGACGAUCAGUAGCUGGUCUGAGAGGAUGAUCAGCCACAUUGGGACUGAGACACGGCCCAAACUCCUACGGGAGGCAGCAGUGGGGAAUCUUGCGCAAUGGGCGAAAGCCUGACGCAGCCAUGCCGCGUGAAUGAUGAAGGUCUUAGGAUUGUAAAAUUCUUUCACCGGGGACGAUAAUGACGGUACCCGGAGAAGAAGCCCCGGCUAACUUCGUGCCAGCCGCCGCGGUAA